AUUGAACGCUGGCGGCAUGCCUUACACAUGCAAGUCGAACGGCAGCACGGGAGCAAUCCUGGUGGCGAGUGGCGAACGGGUGAGUAAUAUAUCGGAACGUGCCCAGUCGUGGGGAUAACGUAGCGAAAGCUACGCUAAUACCGCAUACGAUCUAUGGAUGAAAGCGGGGGAUCGCAAGACCUCGCGCGAUUGGAGCGGCCGAUAUCAGAUUAGGUAGUUGGUGAGGUAAAGACUCACCAAGCCGACGAUCUGUAGCUGGUCUGAGAGGACGACCAGCCACACUGGGACUGAGACACGGCCCAGACUCCUACGGGAGGCAGCAGUGGGGAAUUUUGGACAAUGGGCGCAAGCCUGAUCCAGCAAUGCCGCGUGCAGGAUGAAGGCCUU
This 387-nucleotide ribosomal RNA is filed under the name uncultured bacterium. RNAcentral describes it as "bacterial SSU rRNA". It matches the Rfam family "Bacterial small subunit ribosomal RNA", at positions 30 to 418 of the family's 1533-position model. The record is from RNAcentral.